RNAcentral lists this ribosomal RNA (497 nucleotides) under uncultured bacterium. RNAcentral's name for it is "partial 16S ribosomal RNA". It matches the Rfam family "Bacterial small subunit ribosomal RNA", at positions 28 to 507 of the family's 1533-position model. The record is from RNAcentral.
GAUGAACGCUGGCGGCGUGCCUAAUACAUGCAAGUCGAGCGAACGGACGAGAAGCUUGCUCCUCUGAUGUUAGCGGCGGACGGGUGAGUAACACGGGGAUAACCUAACUCUCAGACUGGGAUAAUUUCGGGAAACCGGAGCUAAUACCCGAUAAUAUAUUGCACCGCAUUGUGCAAAAGUGAAAGACGGUCUUGCGUUCACUUAUAGACUGAUCCGCGCUGCAUUAGAUAGUGGGUGAGGUAAAGGCUUACCAAGGCAACGAUGCAUAACCGACCUGAGCGCGUCGUCCCAUACCUUGUAUGAGAGAAUGAGCCGACACUCCUACAGGAAGCCGCAGCAGGGAAUCUUCCGCAAUGGGGGAAAGCCUGACAGAGCAACGCGGCGGGAGUGAUGAAGGACUUCGGAUCGUAGAGCGCUGUUAUUAGGAGAGAUCAAAUGUGCUAGUACCUGUGAACAUCUUGACAGUACCUAGACAGAAAGCCCCGGCUAACUACGUG